GCGGAUGCAGAGGGUAGUGACAGAUAAUUUGCACCGAGACCCGAAAGGAGGCUUUGGGAAAAUGAUAUAAAAGGCGGUUGUGGGCUUUUCUUCGAAAAAUCCAGCCUGAGCCAACCCUAAUAGCUCAAAACACUACGACGUCCUUCUCUACCUUUCACGGUCUCCCCUCUCCGUUCCUUCGUUCGUUCUCUGAUUCUGUUUCUUCUGCUCUCUUCUCACUGCUCUAAGAUUUGGGAGAGGGGUUGCGAGUUUCAAUUUUGACCAAAGAGAUUUAUAAUCUGUCGAAACAUUCAUGGGUCGGAAGAAGCCGACUGCUCGCGGCGGUGACGAGGAGAAUCCGCAACCGGCGGGUGGUGGGAAAUCGAAGAAGAAGAACCUGGUGAUCGAAGACGACGAGUAUUCCGUCGGAACUGAGCUGUCCGAGGAGAGUCAGGUCCAGGAAGACAAGGUUGUUGCUCCUCCUAGUAAAGGGAAGAAGGCCAAAAAGGGGGGUUCGAAAGCUGCCAAGGGAGUGGAUGAGGAGUUUGAGGGGGCCGGAGAGGAUGAAGAUGAGGUUCCGCAAGUUGUGUUCACUGGGAAGAAGAAGGGGAAGUCGAAGAAGAGUGGUGGGAAUACGUUCAGCUCGUCGGGUUUCGGGUUGCUUGAGGAUGAGGAUAAGGAUAAGGAUGGGGAGGAUGAAGGUGCAUCUAUGAUUACAUUCACUGGUAAAAAGAAGUCUUCAAAGAAGAAAAGUAAUAGUGUGUUUACUGCAGUCGGUGAAGAUGCUGGGGUUGGGAGUGAAAUUGCAGAUGUAGUUGAGCCCGAACAACCAGCUACCGCUACUAGUAAAAUUGAAAAAAAGAAGAAGAAGAAUGUAAGGACUGCUCAAGAAGAGGAUGAUUUGGAUAAGAUUCUUGCAGAGCUAGGUGAGGUUCCAUCAAAACCUGCUGCUCCUCAGAAAGAGGAGAAAGUUCAACCUGAUGCUGUUGCCCCAGUUGGUGGGUCUGCUGCAAAGGAAGCUGAAGUAGAGACUGUUGAGUCUGCUGCAGCAAAGAAGAAGAAAAAGAAGAAGGAGAAGGAAAAGGAGAAAAAGGCGGCAGCAGCAGCAUCUGUAGAUGUCAAGGAUGAAAAACAAGAACAAGUGAAAAUUGAGCUAGCAAUUGAACCAAAGAAGAAGGAAGUGAAAGGCAAAGCAGCUGAAAAGAAGGUGCCUAAACAUGUCAGGGAGAUGCAAGAGGCCCUUGCUAGGCGACAGGAAGAAGAAGAGAGGAAGAAAAAGGAAGAAGAAGAGAAACUGAAAAAAGAAGAAGAGGAGAGGCUUAAGCAAGAAGAACUUGAGAGGCAAAAGGAGGAGGCAAAGCGGAAGAAAAAAGAGAGGGAAAAGGAGAGGAUCCAAGAGUUGAAGAAGGCAGGUUUAUAUAAGACUCCCAAGCAAAAAGAAGAGGACAGGCGACUACAGCAAAUGAGAGACCAGUUUCUUAAAAAUAAUCCCAAUGCAGUGGAGGGUGUACCUCCUACCACAGAAAACGAAAAACCGGCUAAAAGACCUUUGUAUCAGAAAAAGAAGUCAAAACCAGCACCAAAUCAAGCAAAUGGUGCAGCUACUAUGAAGCCUGUGGAACUCACAGAAGAAAGAAAAGAAGAAAACCAGCAAGUUAAUGUUCCUGAGCUUCACUCUGUGGAACUUGAGAAGGUUGAGGAGCAGGAAUCAGUUGAAGUUGCAGAGAAGCUAUCCGAAGUUUCUGAAUCUGUUAAUGAGAAUGGAGUGGAACAAGAAGAGGAUGAUGAUGAUGAAUGGGAUGCAAAAAGCUGGGAUGAUGAUGCUGUUGUUAACCUUUCAUUCAAAAGCGGGUUUUCUGAUGAAGAGGUCGAACCUGUUGUGAAUAAAGGGAUGAAGCCUGCAGUUUCUGUGCAGAAAACCAUUCCUUCUCAACCAAUAAAGCCUCAUGAGGUUGAGAAUCAGAAAAAACAAUCUGAGGUGGAAGUUGACAAAGGUAAGAAGAAAGAUGCUGCUGCAAAGAAAAAAGCACCAAAUUCAGAUUCUGCCUCUAAAGAGGGUGAAGAUAAUCUUCGCUCUCCCAUUUGCUGCAUUAUGGGCCAUGUUGAUACUGGUAAAACUAAGCUUCUGGAUUGUAUUCGAGGCACAAAUGUUCAGGAAGGUGAGGCCGGAGGUAUUACUCAACAGAUUGGUGCGACAUAUUUUCCUGCAGAAAACAUCCGUGAGAGGACUAAGGAACUGAAAGCUGAUGCAAAGCUGAAGGUCCCAGGUCUAUUGGUCAUUGAUACCCCUGGGCACGAGUCAUUUACAAAUUUAAGGUCGCGGGGUUCAGGUUUAUGCGAUAUUGCAAUUUUGGUUGUUGACAUUAUGCAUGGCUUAGAGCCUCAAACAAUAGAGUCACUCAAUCUCUUGAAAAUGAGGAAUACCGAAUUCAUUGUUGCGUUGAAUAAGGUGGACAGGCUCUAUGGAUGGAAAACCUGCCGCAACCAGCCAAUAGGGAAGGCAAUGAAGCAACAAUCCAAGGAUGUUGUAAAUGAGUACAAUAUGAGGGUUUCUCAGAUUAUCACUCAAUUCAUGGAGCAAGGCUUAAAUACUGAGUUGUACUAUAAAAAUAAAGAAAUGGGAGAAACAUACAGUAUUGUACCUACAAGUGCCAUCAGUGGUGAAGGGAUUCCAGAUUUGUUAUUACUAUUGGUUCAGUGGGCCCAGAAAACCAUGGUUGAAAAACUUACAUACAGCAAUGAAAUUCAGUGUACGGUAUUGGAGGUCAAGGUUAUUGAAGGCCUUGGGACAACAAUUGAUGUUGUGUUGGUUAAUGGUGUGCUUCAUGAAGGAGAUCAAAUAGUGGUUUGCGGCAUGCAGGGACCUAUUGUUACUUCAAUUCGAGCUUUGUUGACACCACAUCCCAUGAAAGAACUUCGUGUCAAGGGAACUUAUCAGCACCAUAGUCAAAUCAAAGCUGCACAAGGUAUCAAGAUCACAGCACAGGGACUUGAACAUGCUAUUGCUGGCACUGCUCUAUAUGUUGUUGGGCCUGGUGACGACUUGGAUGAUAUCAAGGAAACAGCUAUGGAAGAUAUGAAAUCAGUCUUGAAUAGGAUUGACAAGAGUGGUGAGGGAGUUUGUGUUCAAGCAUCUACUCUAGGAUCCUUGGAAGCAUUGCUGGAGUUUCUGAAAACUCCAGAAGUUAAUAUUCCUGUUAGUGGUAUUAGCAUUGGCCCUGUACACAAGAAGGAUGUCAUGAAGGCCAGUGUAAUGCUUGAAAAGAAAAAGGAGUAUGCCACUAUCUUGGCAUUUGAUGUUAAAGUGACACCUGAGGCCCGGGACCUUGCAGAAGAAUUGGGUGUGAAGAUUUUUAUUGCUGACAUAAUCUAUCACUUAUUUGACCAAUUUAAGGCCUAUAUCGACAAUCUCAAAGAGGAAAAGAAGAAGGAAGCAGCUGAUGAAGCUGUUUUUCCGUGUGUGCUCAAGAUUUUACCCAACUGUGUUUUCAACAAAAAGGAUCCAAUUGUCUUGGGUGUUGAUGUUCUUGAAGGCAUUGCAAAGGUAGGGACUCCAAUUUGCAUUCCUCAGAGAGAUUUUAUUGACAUUGGGCGUAUUGCAUCCAUAGAGAAUAAUCACAAACCUGUAGAUGUUGCGAAAAAGGGGCUGAAGGUGGCUAUCAAGAUCGUUGGCACAAAUUCUGAUGAACAGCAAAAGAUGUAUGGAAGGCAUUUUGAAAUUGAAGAUGAACUUGUCAGCCAUAUCUCCAGGAGGUCGAUUGAUGUACUUAAGACAAGCUACAGGGAUGAGCUGUCAAUUGAUGAGUGGAAGCUGGUUGUGAAAUUGAAGAAACUUUUUGAGAUACCAUGAGAGAAGUAAAAUCAUAUUUGAGUUUGUUUUAUACACUCCAGAGGUUUCACUGACAUCUGCAACUAAGAAAGACCCCCAAGGGGGACUACCUUGUGGAACAAUUGCGACCUUAACCUGCACCAAUGCAUUUAGGCACUAAAGAUCAAAUCAGAGCAUAUGUCGAGAGGGAACAAAUGUUCCAGUUUGCGGGAGGAAGUCAAUUUUUCCGGAGUUACAAAUUGGGACUGUUCUAAUUUUUGAUCAUUUGGCCUAUAUUGCGUGUUUUCUGCCCAUGUAUCUUAAACCCUCCCUCCCCCAUUUUGUAUCCUCAAAAACUUUAUUUCUUAAUAGUUCACAUAAUAUCCUUGCUUUUUGCAAUGGAUAAGUCUGUUCUACUUGAGGGGGGAAGAGAAAUCAGUUUAAAGAUUCAUUGAAAGGAAGAAUGGGUU
Fragaria vesca subsp. vesca is the source of this 4257-nucleotide RNA transcript. It is a transcript of the gene named eukaryotic translation initiation factor 5B-like, with no coding region annotated. Lineage: Eukaryota; Viridiplantae; Streptophyta; Magnoliopsida; Rosales; Rosaceae. The transcript has 15 exons. The record is from RefSeq and is a predicted model, not a curated record.